GACGAACGCUGGCGGCGUGCCUAAUACAUGCAAGUAGAACGCACAGUUUAUACCGUAGCUUGCUACACCAUAGACUGUGAGUUGCGAACGGGUGAGUAACGCGUAGGUAACCUGCCUGGUAGCGGGGGAUAACUAUUGGAAACGAUAGCUAAUACCGCAUAAUAUUGAUUAUUGCAUGAUAAUUGAUUGAAAGAUGCUAUUGCAUCACUACCAGAUGGACCUGCGUUGUAUUAGCUAGUAGGUGAGGUAACGGCUCACCUAGGCGACGAUACAUAGCCGACCUGAGAGGGUGAUCGGCCACACUGGGACUGGGACACGGCCCAGACUCCUACGGGAGGCAGCAGUAGGGAAUCUUCGGCAAUGGACGAAAGUCUGACCGAGCAACGCCGCGUGAGUGAAGAAGGUUUUCGGAUCGUAAAGCUCUGUUGUAAGAGAGGAACGGGUGUGAGAGUGGAAAGUUCACACUGUGACGGUAUCUUACCAGAAAGGGACGGCUAACUACGUG
This 505-nucleotide ribosomal RNA is filed under the name uncultured bacterium. Its description in RNAcentral is "partial 16S ribosomal RNA". It matches the Rfam family "Bacterial small subunit ribosomal RNA", at positions 28 to 507 of the family's 1533-position model. The record is from RNAcentral.